This 607-nucleotide ribosomal RNA is filed under the name Enterocytozoon bieneusi. Its description in RNAcentral is "SSU rRNA". It matches the Rfam family "Microsporidia small subunit ribosomal RNA", at positions 295 to 908 of the family's 1311-position model. The record is from RNAcentral. Lineage: Eukaryota; Fungi; Microsporidia; Enterocytozoonidae.
ACCUAUUGCCCACUCCUUACGGGGGAGACAGUCAUGAGACGUGAGUAUAAGACCUGAGUGUAAAGACCUUAGGGUGAAGCAAUUGGAGGGCAAGCUUUGGUGCCAGCAGCCGCGGUAACUCCAACUCCAAGAGUGUCUAUGGUGGAUGCUGCAGUUAAAGGGCCCGUAGUCGUGAAUGCAAUUAAAUGUCGUUGUUCAAUAGCGAUGAGUUUGCUAAUGUUUGCGGAACGGAUAGGGAGUGUAGUAUAGACUGGCGAAGAAUGAAAUCUCAAGACCCAGUUUGGACUAACGGAGGCGAAGGCGACACUCUUAGACGUAUCUUAGGAUCAAGGACGAAGGCAGGAGUAUCGAAAGUGAUUAGACACCGCUGUAGUUCCUGCAGUAAACUAUGCCGACAGCCUGUGUGUGAGAAUACGUGGGCGGGAGAAAUCUUAGUGUUCGGGCUCUGGGGAUAGUACGCUCGCAAGGGUGAAACUUAAAGCGAAAUUGACGGAAGGACACUACCAGGAGUGGAUUGUGCUGCUUAAUUUAACUCAACGCGGGAAAACUUACCAGGGUCAAGUCAUUCGUUGAUCGAAUACGUGAGAAUGGCAGGAGGGUGGAGUUG